Long non-coding RNA from Drosophila nasuta, 1688 nucleotides. RefSeq lists it as uncharacterized. The record is from RefSeq and is a predicted model, not a curated record. Lineage: Eukaryota; Metazoa; Arthropoda; Insecta; Diptera; Drosophilidae. The transcript is spliced from 2 exons.
CGAUUGAUGUUUGGCCUUACAUGGUCUCACUUUCCUUAAUCUCUUUCUCUUUCGUCGUUGACCAUCGCACAAUAAAGACGUGUCCGCAGUUGCUUAAAAAUAAAUACAUGUGUUUUAUUCGAAACUUAAGAAACCUAUAAAGAAAUAUUAAGUGAUACAACUGGAGGAUUCCAUAAAAGAGAAGUUGCUGUACUCAUCGAAAUAUUAUAUGAGAGGAUUGGACUGGAGUGACUGGAUUUUUCAACAGGUUAUGGGCCCAGGCACCCAUCAAAGAUAAGUACACGUGCAUUAUAAUUCGAAAGAUGGAAAAAUCUAAAAGAAAUAUUAAGCCGUUCGACGGCGAAAAAUAUGCCAUCUGGAAGUUUCGUAUUAAAGCGCUUUUAAAUGAAAAUGAUUCAAUUAAAGUAAUUGACAACAAUCAAAGUGAAGAAAAUACGGAUGAGUGGAAGAAGUUAGAAAAAUUGGCCAAAAGUACAAUAAUUGAAUAUCUUAGUGAUUCUUUUUAAGUUUUGCCACAGACGAAUGUAGUGCUAAAGAAAUUUUAAAUAAGCUAGACUCAAUUUAUGAACGCAAAAGCUUGGCAACUCAGUUAUCAGUUCGAAAACAAUUACUUUCAUUAAAAUUAAAAACUGAUAUGGAUUUGAUAAAUCAUUUUUAUAUUUUUGACGAUUUAAUAACUGAGCUAUCUGCAUCUGGUGCAAAAUUAGAUGAUUUGGACAAAAUCAGCCAUCUUUUGUUUUCUCUGCCUACCUCGUAUGAUGGUGUCAUUACUGCCAUUGAAACACUUGCAGAGAACAAUUUGACUUUAGCUUACGUAAAACCAGAUUACUUGAUCACGAAAUUAAAUUAAAGAGAAAUCCAAAGAUACAAGUUUAAAAGUUUUGCAAGCUGUGAAUAAAGUAAAUAAUUUUCAAAAUAAUAAUAAACAAUUUCAACAUAAUAAUAAACAAUCUCAAUACAAAAAUAAUAAGUUUCAUGAUAAAGCACAGUUCAAAUCAAAGUUCAAAUUUAACAAUAAUAAACCAAAAUGUUUUCACUGUGGCAAAAUAGGGCACUUAAAGAAGGAUUGCUAUAAGUAUAAGAGAGAGAAAGAAAAUGAGAAAAAUAAAGAAAAACAGGCACAAUUGGCUCAAGGGCAAAAUGAAACAGAACAAUCUGGCUUUGCAUUUAUGCUCAAACGUCACAAUAAUAUUGGUGAUAAGCAUAUUUCUUUCCUAUUGGAUUCGGGUGCAUCUGAUCACUUGACCAACAAUGAAAAUCUACUCUCGAACAUUCGCCAUCUUGAAUUACCCAUCAAAAUUGCUGUUGCAAAGUCAGACGAAUUUAUAAUUGCAACUAAAAGGGAUCAAUGGAAUUGUUAACCGAUACUUUGACCAAAAUCACUCUAAACGAUGUAUUAUUUUGUCCGGAUGUAUCACAAAACCUUAUCUCCGUUAAAAAGAUGCAAGAUGCAGGUUUUACAAUUGUAUUUCAUCCAGGAGGUGUGCUUGUAAACAAAUCGCAGAUAUGCUAACCAAACCAUUACCAGCGCAACGUUUUUGUGAUCUGCGAAAACAAAUGAAUUUAAUAAACUGAAGAUAUAAAAUGAAAUGGAUCUCAUGGAAAUUCGAGAAGGCUGUCUCAACAUUUAAGUUUUUUUUAUUAUUAUUUUUAUAUUUUUAUUUUGAAUUGAAAUUGUUUAACGUAAA